RNAcentral lists this ribosomal RNA (439 nucleotides) under uncultured bacterium. RNAcentral describes it as "partial 16S ribosomal RNA". It matches the Rfam family "Bacterial small subunit ribosomal RNA", at positions 339 to 795 of the family's 1533-position model. The record is from RNAcentral.
CUACGGGGGGCAGCAGUGGGGAAUAUUGCACAAUGGAGGAAACUCUGAUGCAGCAACGCCGCGUGGAGGAUGACACUUUUCGGAGCGUAAACUCCUUUUAUAUAGGAAGAAGAUGACGGUACUAUAUGAAUAAGCGCCGGCGAACUCCGUGCCAGCAGCCGCGGUAACACGGAGGGCGCAAGCGUUACUCGGAAUCACUGGGCGUAAAGAGCGUGUAGGCGGAUUAAAAAGUCAGAAGUGAAAUCCUAUAGCUUAACUAUAGAACUGCUUCUGAAACUCUUAAUCUAGAAUAUGGGAGAGGUAGAUGGAAUUUCUGGUGUAGGGGUAAUAUCCGUAGAGAUCAGAAGGAAUACCGAUUGCGAAGGCGAUCUACUAGAACAUUAUUGACGCUGAGACGCGAAAGCGUGGGGAGCAAACAGGAUUAGAUACCCGGGUAGUC